This 592-nucleotide ribosomal RNA is filed under the name uncultured Burkholderia sp. Its description in RNAcentral is "bacterial SSU rRNA". It matches the Rfam family "Bacterial small subunit ribosomal RNA", at positions 329 to 914 of the family's 1533-position model. Lineage: Bacteria; Pseudomonadati; Pseudomonadota; Betaproteobacteria; Burkholderiales; Burkholderiaceae. The record is from RNAcentral.
CAGGUCACUCCUACGGGAGGCAGCAGUGGGGAAUUUUGGACAAUGGGGGCAACCCUGAUCCAGCAAUGCCGCGUGUGUGAAGAAGGCCUUCGGGUUGUAAAGCACUUUUGUCCGGAAAGAAAACUUCGGGGCUAAUACCUCUGGAGGAUGACGGUACCGGAAGAAUAAGCACCGGCUAACUACGUGCCAGCAGCCGCGGUAAUACGUAGGGUGCGAGCGUUAAUCGGAAUUACUGGGCGUAAAGCGUGCGCAGGCGGUUCGCUAAGACCGAUGUGAAAUCCCCGGGCUUAACCUGGGAACUGCAUUGGUGACUGGCGGGCUAGAGUAUGGCAGAGGGGGGUAGAAUUCCACGUGUAGCAGUGAAAUGCGUAGAGAUGUGGAGGAAUACCGAUGGCGAAGGCAGCCCCCUGGGCCAAUACUGACGCUCAUGCACGAAAGCGUGGGGAGCAAACAGGAUUAGAUACCCUGGUAGUCCACGCCCUAAACGAUGUCAACUAGUUGUCGGGUCUUCAUUGACUUGGUAACGUAGCUAACGCGUGAAGUUGACCGCCUGGGGAGUACGGUCGCAAGAUUAAAACUCAAAGGAAUUGAC